GACAGAGGUGCCGAGCGUUAGGCGGAAUCACUGGGCUUAAAGCGUGUGUAGGCGGACCGUUAAGUACCUUGUGAAAUCCCCCGGCUCAACCGGGGAACGGCUGGGUAUACUGGCGGUCUUGAGCCAUCCAGGGGCAGUCGGAACAGACGGUGGAGCGGUGAAAUGCGUAGAUAUCGUCUGGAACGCCGAAGGUGAAAACAGACUGCUGGGGAUGCGCUGACGCUGGAGACACGAAAGCCAGGGGAGCGGAACGGG
Molecule: ribosomal RNA, 255 nt
Filed under: uncultured bacterium
Lineage: Bacteria
Description: partial 16S ribosomal RNA
Rfam family: Bacterial small subunit ribosomal RNA
Source: RNAcentral